This 1173-nucleotide ribosomal RNA is filed under the name Triticum aestivum (bread wheat). RNAcentral's name for it is "partial small subunit ribosomal RNA". Lineage: Eukaryota; Viridiplantae; Streptophyta; Magnoliopsida; Poales; Poaceae. The record is from RNAcentral.
AUGCUCCGCCUCCGAGGGCGCAUCGUUGCCCAUCUCCUCUCUUCCUCCUCCACCUCUGGCCCGGCCAUCUCCCCUCUCCACCGGCUCCUCUCCGCAUCGGCAGCCGCCGGCCCCAUUUCCCCGAACCCCGCUGGAUUCGCCGUCGAGGACUACCUCGUCGACACCUGCGGCCUCACCCGGCCCCAAGCCCUCAAGGCCUCCACCAAGCUCUCCCACCUCAAGUCCCCCGCCAACCCCGAUGCCGUCCUCGCCUUCCUCUCCGGCGUCGGCCUCUCCGGCGCCGACGUCGCCGCCGUCGUCGCCAAAGAUCCGCAGCUCCUAUGCGCCAAAGUGGACAAAACCCUGGCUCCGGUGGUCGAUGGGCUCACCGGCCUCGGCCUGUCGCGCUCCGACAUCGCCCGCCUCGUCUCGCUCGCCCACGCCUACUUCCGCUGUAGAUCCAUAGUCCCCAAGCUGCACUACUACCUGCCCCUCUUGGGCUCCUCCCACAACUUGCUCCGGCUGCUCAAGCGGGGAGGAUCCCACCUUCUGUCAUCGGACCUCGACAAGGUUGUCAAGCCCAAUGUUGCCUUCCUGAGGGAGUGCGGGCUAGGUGAUUCUGAUAUUGCCAAGCUGUGUAUCCAUCGGCCAAGGAUGCUCACCACCAACCUGGAGCGCGUCCGGGCGAUGGUGACAUGCGCCCACGGUAUAGGCGUGCCCCGUGGCUCUGGGAUGUUCAGACAAGCGCUACAUGCUGUCGCAUUCCAAAGCGAGGAGAAGAUUGCCGCCAAACUGGACUACUUGAAGAAUACCUUCAGGUGGUCUGAUGCCCAAGUGAGCAUUGCUGUCUGUAAGGCUCCGAUUGUGCUGAGCAAGUCAAAGGAGUCUCUGAAGCGCAGGUCCGACUUCUUCUUCUUUGAGGUGGGCUUGGAACCGGCGUACAUUGCUCAUCAUCCGGUGUUGCUCUCUUACAGCAUGGAGGGCCGUCUCAGACCCAGGUACUAUGUUAUCAAGUACCUUAAGGCAAAUGGAUUGUUAGGUCAGUACCGGGACUACUAUAGCAUAGUCAUGCCGAGUGAGAAGGUAUUUGUGGAGAAGUUCAUAUGCCCUCACAAGAAAGCUGCACCACACCUUGCUGAAAACUAUGCAACAGCUUGCAAAGGGGAAGUGCCAACUAAUUUCAGAUUUACAUGA